UACGAAGGGACCUAGCGUAGUUCGGAAUUACUGGGCUUAAAGAGUUCGUAGGUGGUUGAAAAAGUUGGUGGUGAAAUCCCAGAGCUUAACUCUGGAACUGCCAUCAAAACUUUUCAGCUAGAGUAUGAUAGAGGAAAGCAGAAUUUCUAGUGUAGAGGUGAAAUUCGUAGAUAUUAGAAAGAAUACCAAUUGCGAAGGCAGCUUUCUGGAUCAUUACUGACACUGAGGAACGAAAGCAUGGGUAGCGAAGAGGAUUAGAUACCCUCGUAGUCCAUGCCGUAAACGAUGUGUGUUAGACGUUGGAAAUUUAUUUUCAGUGUCGCAGCGAAAGCGAUAAACACACCGCCUGGGGAGUACGACCGCAAGGUUAAAACUCAAAUGAAUUGACGGGGACCCGCACAAGUAGUGGAGCAUGUGGUUUGAUUCGAGGAUACGCGCAGAACCUUACCAACACUUGACAUGUUCGUCGCGACUCUAAGAGAUUAGAGUUUUCGGUUCGGCCGGACGAAACACAGGUGCUGCAUGGCUGUCGUCAGCUCGUGUCGUGAGAUGUUGGGUUAAGUCCCGCAACGAGCGCAACCCUCACUUUUAGUUGCCAUCAUUAAGUUGGGCACUCUGAAAGAACUGCCAGUGAUAAGCUGGAGGAAGGUGGGGAUGACGUCAAGUCCUCAUGGCCCUUACGUGUUGGGCUACACACGUGCUACAAUGGUAUCUACAACAGGAAGCAAGACUGCGAAGUUAAGCAAAUCCCUAAAAGAUACCUCAGUUCGGAUUGCACUCUGCAACUCGAGUGCAUGAAGCUGGAAUUACUAGUAAUCGUGGAUCAGCGUGCCACGGUGAAUGCGUUCCCGGGUCU
This 856-nucleotide ribosomal RNA is filed under the name uncultured bacterium. Its description in RNAcentral is "SSU rRNA". It matches the Rfam family "Bacterial small subunit ribosomal RNA", at positions 524 to 1381 of the family's 1533-position model. The record is from RNAcentral.